GACGAACGCUGGCGGCGUGCUUAACACAUGCAAGUCGAGCGAUGAAGCUCCUUCGGGAGUGGAUUAGCGGCGGACGGGUGAGUAACACGUGGGUAACCUGCCUCAUAGAGGGGAAUAGCCUUUCGAAAGGAAGAUUAAUACCGCAUAAGAUUGUAGCCUCGCAUGAAGCAGCAAUUAAAGGAGUAAUCCGCUAUGAGAUGGACCCGCGUCGCAUUAGCUAGUUGGUGAGGUAACGGCUCACCAAGGCGACGAUGCGUAGCCGACCUGAGAGGGUGAUCGGCCACAUUGGGACUGAGACACGGCCCAGACUCCUACGGGAGGCAGCAGUGGGGAAUAUUGCACAAUGGGGGAAACCCUGAUGCAGCAACGCCGCGUGAGUGAUGACGGUCUUCGGAUUGUAAAGCUCUGUCAGCAAGGAAGAAAAUGACGGUACUUGACUAAGAAGCCCCGGCUAACUACGUGCCAGCCGCCGCGGUAA
Molecule: ribosomal RNA, 478 nt
Filed under: uncultured bacterium
Lineage: Bacteria
Description: partial 16S ribosomal RNA
Rfam family: Bacterial small subunit ribosomal RNA
Source: RNAcentral